This is a long non-coding RNA of Oncorhynchus tshawytscha (Chinook salmon), 1057 nucleotides long. RefSeq lists it as uncharacterized. NCBI's taxonomy places the organism in Eukaryota, Metazoa, Chordata, Actinopteri, Salmoniformes, Salmonidae. The transcript has 4 exons. The record is from RefSeq and is a predicted model, not a curated record.
UUUCAAUAGGCCUAGCCGAUCUGUUUCGCAAAUCCUUUCUCCUUCCCUCCGUCCAGACCCCCAGCUUCUCACUCUGCCCGCCGUGGAUAAUCGCCCUGCGCUGCUGGUGCAUGAGCAGAUGUGUCUGGGCCAGAAGGACCCAGAGCCCUUACAGAAUACAGGGGAAAAAGAGCUCAGUCAGGACAAUGAGCAGUUUCAAGAAUUGCAGACUGACAUCAAAGAGUUUGUCAUAGUCACUUUUCUCAUAGAGAUGAUUGAAUAUGACCAGGAGGACCCCACUCAGCCUUCACAUCUUUACCAAGCCCCAAUUGAGGAAAAUGUAGAGAUGGAUACACUACACAGCGACUCGUAUGAACAGAUUGAUACAGGGUCUGAUGGAGAGGGCAAUGUAGAAUCAGAACCAACAACCAGAAACUACUGUUUUGCAGCUCUGGAUGUAAGCUGUGAAAGGAUGGAGAAUGGAGGAGAAAGAUCCCAUCAGAAGUCAACUGCUCAAGGUCAUUCGGGUCCACGUUGUAAGGUUAGCGUGAGUGACGACGAUGAGGCAUUCGAGAGACAAAUAACUGUCCUGGAGAAAGAAAACAGAAGGCUGGAGAAGGACCAGUAUCAGCACCAGUAUUGGAACCGAGCAUCCAAAACAGACUGACAUUGGAGGAGGGAUAAUGGUUUCAGAGGCAGCGCUCCACUACAUUGAUCAUUCACACCACCAUAAGCUUACCAAUGGCCUUCUGACGCUGUUGUUCUCAAACGAGGAGCUGGCAGAGAGCAGCCUCAGUGGAAAGAGGUGUAAUGCUCACAAGAAUGAUAAUGUCAAGAAGGGCCUUGACAUCAGACGCCUUGAGCCCAUUGUUGGAUGUCAUGGAGAAAUGUGUUGUCGGAAAAAAAGAUGUAUUCACAAUUAUCGGCGUAAACUCAAUUAUGAAGACAAGCUGUCAAAAGGACUUAUUUCAAGGAGGAGGAAGAAAUAGAUAUCAUUGAACUACUGCCCAUCAUAUAUAUAUGUAUGUAUGUACAGUGGGGCAAAAAAGUAUUUAGUCAGCCACCACUUGUGCAAGUU